UGUGGUGUGAUUCAGUGGUACAGUGCUUGCUUAGCAUGUGCAAGGCCAUGGGUUCAAUCCCCACACCACAA
RNAcentral lists this transfer RNA (71 nucleotides) under Fukomys damarensis (Damara mole-rat). It matches the Rfam family "tRNA". From Rfam's summary of the family: Transfer RNA (tRNA) molecules are approximately 80 nucleotides in length. Lineage: Eukaryota; Metazoa; Chordata; Mammalia; Rodentia; Bathyergidae. The record is from Rfam by way of RNAcentral.